CCUACGGGGUGCACCAGUGAGGAAUUUUGCGCAAUGGGGGAAACCCUGACGCAGCAACGCCGCGUGAGUGAUGAAGGCUUUCGGGUCGUAAAGCUCUGUCAAGUGGGAAGAACCUGCCUUUUGCUAAUAUCAAUCGGCACUGACGGUACCACUGAAGGAAGCACCGGCUAACUCCGUGCCAGCAGCCGCGGUAACACGGGGGGUGCAAGCGUUAUUCGGAAUCACUGGGCGUAAAGAGCGCGUAGGCGGUUUCUUAAGUCAGAUGUGAAAGCCCGGGGCUUAACCCCGGAAGUGCAUUUGAAACUAAGGGACUUGAGUAUGGGAGAGGGAAGUGGAAUUCCUGGUGUAGCGGUGAAAUGCGUAGAUAUCAGGAGGAACACCGGUGGCGAAGGCGACUUCCUGGACCAAUACUGACGCUGAGGCGCGAAGGCGUGGGGAGCAAACAGGAUUAGAUACCCGUGUAGUC
This 466-nucleotide ribosomal RNA is filed under the name uncultured bacterium. Its description in RNAcentral is "bacterial SSU rRNA". It matches the Rfam family "Bacterial small subunit ribosomal RNA", at positions 338 to 795 of the family's 1533-position model. The record is from RNAcentral.